UGGCGACCCCAUUGGAUUGAUGGUUUUGGCGUGAUAGAUGAAAACGACAUUGGACGACAUUAGGGACAUGAACUUUGAAGUUUCAUAAAUAUAACAUUUUUUAAAUAAUCUGUAUGUAUUCAAUAGAGAAAGUUGUUACAUUGAUAUGAAGAAAACGUAUUGGUCAAAUAAUUGAAUCAUAGCUACAUGUUAGUAAUUCAUUGCUGAAAACAGUAAUAUAAGACAAUGAUAGUUGCGAACUUACAAAAUGGUAUUGAUCAGUCCAUAACAGAUAUUGGUAAUUUUCGUUUGUUCAUC
RNAcentral lists this long non-coding RNA (297 nucleotides) under Brassica napus (rape). RNAcentral describes it as "long non-coding RNA (BNAP_LNC006234)". Lineage: Eukaryota; Viridiplantae; Streptophyta; Magnoliopsida; Brassicales; Brassicaceae. The record is from RNAcentral.